RNAcentral lists this ribosomal RNA (1031 nucleotides) under Odocoileus hemionus (mule deer). Its description in RNAcentral is "partial 16S ribosomal RNA". It matches the Rfam family "Bacterial large subunit ribosomal RNA", at positions 853 to 2593 of the family's 2925-position model. Lineage: Eukaryota; Metazoa; Chordata; Mammalia; Artiodactyla; Cervidae. The record is from RNAcentral. RNAcentral also lists the same sequence under 1 other name.
GUCCAGGAAAUGAAUAUUAGUUCAGCUUUAAAAAUACCAAUAAUAUAAACAAAUAUACUGUAUUUUUAAAAGUUAGUCUAAAAGGGUACAGCCUUUUAGAAACGGAUACAACCUUGACUAGAGAGUAAAACUUGACAAUACCAUAGUAGGCCCAAAAGCAGCCACCAAUUAAGAAAGCGUUAAAGCUCAACAAUAAAACUAUCUUAAUCCCAAUAACAAAUAAUCAACUCCUAGCCUUAAUACUGGACUAAUCUAUAAAAAUAGAAGCAAUAAUGUUAAUAUGAGUAACAAGAAGUAUCUUCUCCCCGCACGAGUUUAAGUCAGUACCUGAUAAUAUUCUGACCAUUAACAGCAAAAUAAGAAUAACCUAACUAUAAAUAACUUACUUAUUACACUGUUAAUCCAACACAGGAGUGCACUUAAGGAAAGAUUAAAAGAAGUAAAAGGAACUCGGCAAACACUAAACCCCGCCUGUUUACCAAAAACAUCACCUCCAGCAUAACUAGUAUUGGAGGCAUUGCCUGCCCAGUGACAACCGUUAAACGGCCGCGGUAUCCUGACCGUGCAAAGGUAGCAUAAUCAUUUGUUCUCUAAAUAAGGACUUGUAUGAAUGGCCAAACGAGGGUUUUACUGUCUCUUACUUCCAAUCAGUGAAAUUGACCUUCCCGUGAAGAGGCGGGAAUACCAUAAUAAGACGAGAAGACCCUAUGGAGCUUUAACUACUUAGUCCAAAGAAAUAAAUUUAUUAACCAAGGAAACAACAAUACUCUUUAUGGACUAACAGCUUUGGUUGGGGUGACCUCGGAGAACAGAAAAUCCUCCGAGCGAUUUUAAAGACUAGACUCACAAGUCAAAUCACACAAUCGCUUAUUGAUCCAAAAAAUUGAUCAACGGAACAAGUUACCCUAGGGAUAACAGCGCAAUCCUAUUCAAGAGUUCAUAUCGACAAUAGGGUUUACGACCUCGAUGUUGGAUCAGGACACCCCGAUGGUGCAACCGCUAUCAAAGGUUCGUUUGUUCAACGAUUAAAG